This 86-nucleotide transfer RNA is filed under the name Thermoprotei archaeon. RNAcentral describes it as "tRNA-Ser". It matches the Rfam family "tRNA". Rfam says of the family: Transfer RNA (tRNA) molecules are approximately 80 nucleotides in length. Their secondary structure includes four short double-helical elements and three loops (D, anti-codon, and T loops). Further hydrogen bonds mediate the characteristic L-shaped molecular structure. tRNAs have two regions of fundamental functional importance: the anti-codon, which is responsible for specific mRNA codon recognition, and the 3' end, to which the tRNAs corresponding amino acid is attached (by aminoacyl-tRNA synthetases). tRNAs cope with the degeneracy of the genetic code in two manners: having more than one tRNA (with a specific anti-codon) for a particular amino acid; and 'wobble' base-pairing, i.e. permitting non-standard base-pairing at the 3rd anti-codon position. Lineage: Archaea; Thermoproteati; Thermoproteota; Thermoprotei. The record is from RNAcentral. RNAcentral also lists the same sequence under 1 other name.
GCCGGGGUGCCCGAGUGGACCAAGGGGCAGGCCUGGAGAGCCUGUGCUCCAUAUGGGGCGCGUGGGUUCGAAUCCCACCCCCGGCG